UUUUGUCACGAGGUGUAUUUGCAAGUAAGUCUCUUAUUAUAUUACACCAAUUUUCGACUUAAAAUCAACGAGUAGAGCCAUGUUCAAAUGACUUAAUUAAUAAUAUUAUCGCUCAAGUCUAUAAAGGUCACUAAUGAGGCAAUCGAGAAAAUUAUAUCAGGAAGCUUUUCUCUAUAGAAAUAAUCUGUAUGUAUGGUGUUAGUGGUCUGAACGAGCUACGUUUUACUGAAGAGAGUUGAAAUUAACUAACUAUCGUGGUUUACUUGAUUGUCCAACCUGGAAAUUUUGAAUGUCUCUCUUGUUUGUCCGUAUAACUCAACACAUCUGGAAUCGAUUGAUGUUUCAUCGGUUCAGGAAGUCUACAUCAGGCUACGUGAUGUAUCUCUUGUUUUAAAUAAGAAUUGUAAUACCGAGGCUUUCCACUAGUCUAAAGACUUUCCACUGUUCAGAUAAAUAUUUUCAGGUUAGUUUCCUUAAUAAGAUCUUCAGAAAGUAUAUGUCGCAAUAGUGGAAAGCCUCCGUAUUAAAAAUCUUAUUCAAAAAGUCAUAAAAAAACCAUCAAUGUUGAAUCUUGAUGGGUAAUAGCGCAGGUAUUGAAUCUUCAAACGCUGUAAAUGAAGCUGAUAAAUUCCCCUAAAUCCCCCAAAUUGUGACGUUUCAUCUUUCGAAUCCUGAAGAUAUUUCUGGCCAAGAAAUUCAUUGAACAAAGAUGUCAACAAUUGUGAUCAUAAUUCCACCGAGGAAGGUCCUGCUCUCUUCGUUGUUCGCUUUGUUCCUGAGCUUGCUUGGGCUGAUGGCGCGGAAUGGUUCGUCAAGCCGACACUCCUGGGACCCUUCUGAAUGUCGAGCAAUCGAUUCGUGACCUAGUGCAUAUUACAGCUAACCUACCCCAAGGACAUAAUCGGGAUGGGGACUUAUCUGAAAAGGUUGUCCAUAGGAACCCACCUGAACGAAAAAGGAGGGUCCGAAGAAUUGAAAAACUGGAUUGGGGAGUUUGAUAAGCUUUUCUUUACCCUCACCUGUGUAGAUGACAAGACUGUGCACUUAGCCAUUUAUUACCUACAGAGGGAUGCCCACGUUUUGGUGGACUCAAGCUAAAGACAACCUUCUAAAACAACCUGACUUUGGGUGGAAAACUUUUAAGAAAGCUCUUAGUGAUAAGUAUUACCCACCUUACCUCAAAAAGCAAAAAGCCCAAGAGUUUAUGAUGCUAGAGCAAGAGAACCUGUGUGUUGAGGAUUAUUACCGAAAUUUAUUGAAUUGAUGAGAUUUGCUCCUAAAAUUGCCCCUAAUGAGGAAACUAAGACCUCACGCUUUAAAUUAGGGAUCACCCUUGACCUUCAAGGGACACUAGGGGCUUUUACCUCGUUGGAACAUGUUUUUGGCAAAACUUGCCACUUAUAUGUAAUAAGGAAACGAGAGGAAUGAGGUAAACAAGGUGAGAAGCGAGAGGAGAAUCCAAACUUUAAGGUUCACAAAUUUGAAAAGAAACAUCAUGGAAACCAGAACAACCAAACCUACCACAGGAACUUCGAUAAAGGACCCAACAACAACACUCACCACAAUAAGUUAAUAUUAUAUUUUCGUUGCAAUUUAGUUUUCUUAAAUAAGAGUAAGUUAAUAUUUUGGAUUUCAAUAAGCCUUGUGUUUCACUUCAAAGUCGAUGCAACAUAGUUUAGACAUGUAUGUAUUUUGGAAGUAUUACAUGAAGAUUGCAGUAAAUAAUACUCCAUCCGUUUCUUUUUAGUGGUUAUACUUUGAGUUUUGACAUUAUUCACCAAUUUAUAUUUGACUAUCAGUUGUCAUUAAUGGGUAAGGAAAAUAUAAUCAUGUGGACUCUUGUUUGAUUCGUCUCGAUAAAUACUUCAAGAAUAUCAAUUUUUUAUUGCAAAUGCAAAUUUAGAAAUAUUAAUGUUCAAACAUUUA
Beta vulgaris subsp. vulgaris (sugar beet) is the source of this 1926-nucleotide long non-coding RNA. RefSeq lists it as uncharacterized. Lineage: Eukaryota; Viridiplantae; Streptophyta; Magnoliopsida; Caryophyllales; Amaranthaceae. The transcript is spliced from 3 exons. The record is from RefSeq and is a predicted model, not a curated record.